UGGUGGUGAUGAGGACAUAAAAUCAACAAGGAUUUAAAUCUAUCCCAAGCUUGGUAUAAAUUUUGUCCUCCCUUUUAUUUAAAACUUGAGAUCUCACUCUUUAGCUU
Molecule: small nucleolar RNA, 107 nt
Organism: Solanum dulcamara
Lineage: Eukaryota; Viridiplantae; Streptophyta; Magnoliopsida; Solanales; Solanaceae
Source: RefSeq, a predicted model, not a curated record